CAGUCGCCGCGGGAAUACGUAGGUGGCAAGCGUUGUCCGGAAUUAUUGGGCGUAAAGGGCUCGCAGGCGGAUACUUAAGUUAGGGGUGAAAUCCCAGGGCUCAACCCCGGAACUGCCUUUAAUACUGGGUAUCUUGAGUUCGAGAGAGGUGAGUGGAAUUCCGAGUGUAGAGGUGAAAUUCGUAGAUAUUCGGAGGAACACCAGUGGCGAAGGCGGCCCACUGGCUCGAUACUGACGCUGAGGUGCGAAAGCGUGGGGAGCAAACAGGAUUAGAUACCCCUGUAGUCCCUGUCUCUUAUAC
RNAcentral lists this ribosomal RNA (301 nucleotides) under uncultured bacterium. RNAcentral describes it as "partial 16S ribosomal RNA". It matches the Rfam family "Bacterial small subunit ribosomal RNA", at positions 509 to 807 of the family's 1533-position model. The record is from RNAcentral.